UGCCGCGUGUGUGAAGAAGGCCUUCGGGUUGUAAAGCACUUUUGUCCGGAAAGAAAUGGCUCUGGUUAAUACCUGGGGUCGAUGACGGUACCGGAAGAAUAAGGACCGGCUAACUACGUGCCAGCAGCCGCGGUAAUACGUAGGGUCCAAGCGUUAAUCGGAAUUACUGGGCGUAAAGCGUGCGCAGGCGGUUGUGCAAGACCGAUGUGAAAUCCCCGAGCUUAACUUGGGAAUUGCAUUGGUGACUGCACGGCUAGAGUGUGUCAGAAGGGGGUAGAAUUCCACGUGUAGCAGUGAAAUGCGUAGAGAUGUGGAGGAAUACCGAUGGCGAAGGCAGCCCCCUGGGAUAACACUGACGCUCAUGCACGAAAGCGUGGGGAGCAAACAGGAUUAAAUACCCUGGUAGUCCACGCCCUAAACGAUGUCAACUAGUUGUUGGGGAUUCAUUUCCUUAGUAACGUAGCUUACGCGUGAAGUUGACCGCCUGGGGAGUACGGUCGCAAGAUUAAAACUCAAAGGAAUUGACGGGGACCCGCACAAGCGGUGGAUGAUGUGGAUUAAUUCGAUGCAACGCGAAAAACCUUACCUACCCUUGACAUGCCACUAACGAAGCAGAGA
This 618-nucleotide ribosomal RNA is filed under the name Ralstonia sp. N4s_07. RNAcentral's name for it is "bacterial SSU rRNA". It matches the Rfam family "Bacterial small subunit ribosomal RNA", at positions 395 to 1006 of the family's 1533-position model. The record is from RNAcentral. Lineage: Bacteria; Pseudomonadati; Pseudomonadota; Betaproteobacteria; Burkholderiales; Burkholderiaceae.